This 348-nucleotide unclassified non-coding RNA is filed under the name soil metagenome. Its description in RNAcentral is "partial contains 5.8S ribosomal RNA, internal transcribed spacer 2, and large subunit ribosomal RNA". The stretch from base 1 to 120 matches the Rfam family "5.8S ribosomal RNA", at positions 35 to 154 of the family's 154-position model. The record is from RNAcentral.
GAUGAAGAACGCAGCGAAAUGCGAAAAGUAAUGUGAAUUGCAGAAUUCAGUGAAUCAUCGAAUCUUUGAACGCACAUUGCGCCCGCCAGUAUUCUGGCGGGCAUGCCUGUCUGAGCGUCAUUUCAACCCUCAUGCCCCUAGGGCGUGGUGUUGGGGAUCGGCCAGCGCCCGCGAGGGACGGCCGGCCCCUAAAUCUAGUGGCGGACCCGUCGUGGCCUCCCCUGCGAAGUAGUGAUAUUCCGCAUAGGAGAGCGACGAGCCCCUACCGUUAAACCCCCAACUUUCUAAGGUUGACCUCAGAUCAGGUAGGAAUACCCGCUGAACUUAAGCAUAUCAAUAAGCGGAGGA